GUACGGGAGGCAGCAGUGGGGAAUAUUGCACAAUGGAGGAAACUCUGAUGCAGCGACGCCGCGUGGGUGAUGAAGGCCUUCGGGUUGUAAAGCCCUGUCGGCUGGGAACAAGGUAGACGUGCUCAUACCACGUUUGCUUGAGUGUACCAGCAAAGGAAGCACCGGCUAACCCUGUGCCAGCAGCCGCGGUAAUACAGGGGGUGCUAGCGUUGUUCGGAAUUACUGGGCGUAAAGGGCGCGUAGGUGGCUUAAUAAGUCAGGAGUGAAAUCCCGGAGCUUAACUCCGGAAUUGCUUUUGAAACUAUUAGGCUUGAGUAUGUUAGAGGAAAUCGGAAUUCCUAGUGUAGAAGUGAAAUUCGUAGAUAUUAGGAAGAACACCGGUGGCGAAGGCGGAUUUCUGGGACAUAACUGACACUGAGGCGCGAAAGCGUGGGGAUCAAACAGGAUUAGAUACCCGCGUAGUCC
RNAcentral lists this ribosomal RNA (465 nucleotides) under uncultured bacterium. RNAcentral describes it as "bacterial SSU rRNA". It matches the Rfam family "Bacterial small subunit ribosomal RNA", at positions 339 to 796 of the family's 1533-position model. The record is from RNAcentral.